GAUAAAAUGGCUGAAUUUUAGGCGGUAAAUUGUAAAUUUAUUUAUGGGUUAAACCCUUUUGUCA
This 64-nucleotide transfer RNA is filed under the name Loxoblemmus doenitzi. Its description in RNAcentral is "tRNA-Tyr". Lineage: Eukaryota; Metazoa; Arthropoda; Insecta; Orthoptera; Gryllidae. The record is from RNAcentral.